UACAGAGGUCUCAAGCGUUGUUCGGAUUCAUUGGGCGUAAAGGGCGCGUAGGCGGGUGUGCAAGUCUGUGGUGAAAGCCUCCAGCUUAACUGGAGAAGUGCCAUGGAUACUGCACAUCUUGAGGAGGGUAGGGGCAUCUGGAACGGUCGGUGGAGCAGUGAAAUGCGUUGAUAUCGACCGGAACUCCGGUGGCGAAGGCGAGGUGCUGGACCCUUUCUGACGCUGAGGCGCGAAAGCCAGGGGAGCAAACGGG
Molecule: ribosomal RNA, 253 nt
Filed under: uncultured bacterium
Lineage: Bacteria
Description: partial 16S ribosomal RNA
Rfam family: Bacterial small subunit ribosomal RNA
Source: RNAcentral